Gadus morhua (Atlantic cod) is the source of this 660-nucleotide long non-coding RNA. RefSeq lists it as uncharacterized. The transcript has 3 exons. The record is from RefSeq and is a predicted model, not a curated record. NCBI's taxonomy places the organism in Eukaryota, Metazoa, Chordata, Actinopteri, Gadiformes, Gadidae.
UGUUUAGAUGAUUGGGAUCAGGCCGUCAGGAGGAACAAGAGGGCGGAGACAAAGUCCUGUGUGGAGACAGGAAAUGAGGACAUAGGGAGGCGCAUCAUAGUCAAACCCCAAAAAUGUGAAAAGAGAACAAAGAAACGAAAUGGGAAAAAGGCAGGACAAGGUCCACAUUUCAGGACUUCCCUUCCUCCUCCACCCCAGAUAGAAUCCCCCAUUCCACGGCGUAGCGCACUACAAGUAUCUUCACCCCCUGUGACUGAUGACGGUAGAGUUUUGCAAGGGAAUGAUGGUUAAAAACAAAUACAAAUAAUUGCAUAGAAGUCAAGAAGACACUAUGUUUCGAAACAAAAACACAUAACCUAAAUUCUUAUCUUGUUCUUUCUGUAGAUUACUCCCCUCCUUCACCGGCAAGAGACGUUUUUACAGAAAAUGAUGGUAAAGUUAUGCAUGAUGAUUCGAUUGCGUCUUCAUUUGAAACGCCAUUGCCUAUCUCUACUGGGGACGGUAAAGUGGCGGGUGGAGAGGGUGGUUAAAACCAAACUAGUAACUCUUAUCAACAGGUUAUGACAGUCAUCUGUCUAUACUAACCCUACACAUUAUGCUUUAUACACAUUACUUAGGUGACCGAAGGGAGAGAGAAACCAUACCAAUCUGGGCAAAGAA